UGCGCCCUCUUAUUCUUCAUAUGAAAAAUAUUUUUACAUGAUUUUUCUCAUGUGCAAAAGCUUUUUCCAUAUUUUCAUCUAAUUUUUUUUAAAUUAUAAAUUGGUUGGUUUAAAUUUGAGUUCAAAUGGGUUUGAAUUUGAAUGAAAACCUAAAGUCCAAAUUGAGUUGGACUCUCCUCUUCACACCACAACCUUUCUCCAUGCAUAAAGUAUUUUUGUGUAAGAUUUUUUGCAUCAUUCUAAUGUUGGUCAACCCCUCUUUGAGUUUAUAAGAUGAGAAUAAAGUUUGGUUCAAAAUUUAAUUCAAAUUUGAUUUGAAUUGAUGA
This 326-nucleotide long non-coding RNA is filed under the name Elaeis guineensis (African oil palm). RNAcentral describes it as "long non-coding RNA (EGUI_LNC046599)". Lineage: Eukaryota; Viridiplantae; Streptophyta; Magnoliopsida; Arecales; Arecaceae. The record is from RNAcentral.